UUCCUGAUAGUCAUUCAGUUUUGAAGUG
This 28-nucleotide small RNA is filed under the name Bombyx mori (domestic silkworm). RNAcentral's name for it is "ovarian small RNA-9632". The record is from RNAcentral. Lineage: Eukaryota; Metazoa; Arthropoda; Insecta; Lepidoptera; Bombycidae.